This 164-nucleotide ribosomal RNA is filed under the name uncultured bacterium. RNAcentral's name for it is "partial 16S ribosomal RNA". It matches the Rfam family "Bacterial small subunit ribosomal RNA", at positions 355 to 511 of the family's 1533-position model. The record is from RNAcentral.
UAGGGAAUCUUCCACAAUGGGCGAAAGCCUGAUGGAGCAACGCCGCGUGUGUGAUGAAGGGUUUCGGCUCGUAAAACACUGUUGUAAGAGAAGAAUGACAUUGAGAGUAACUGUUCAAUGUGUGACGGUAUCUUACCAGAAAGGGACGGCUAAAUACGUGCCAG